AACGCACCUUGCGCUCCUUGGUAUUCCGAGGAGCAUGCCUGUUUGAGUGUCUUGAAGUCAUCAACCUCUCCCGUUUUGCGACGGGUCCAGGUUGGAGCCUGGGGGCUUGCGGCCGCGAGGCUGCUCCCCUCAAAUGCAUCGGUUGGGCCUGUGGGUCGGACUCGGUUGGGCGUUGUACCAUCCUCGCUCUUAUUCCGAGAUGUUCCCCUAUUAAUGUGCCCUACCACGACCGCCCCGUCUGGAGUCGGCGGUCAAAGCUUUUGAAGCACUUUGAAAUCUGACCUCAAAUCAGGUAGGACUACCCGCUGAACUUAA
Molecule: ribosomal RNA, 315 nt
Filed under: uncultured fungus
Lineage: Eukaryota; Fungi
Description: eukaryotic LSU rRNA
Rfam family: 5.8S ribosomal RNA (bases 1-52)
Source: RNAcentral